UCCCAACUCAUCCGCUGCUGACUGCCCUCCCCUGCCCAAGCUUUCUUCCCAGGGCUGGUUCAGGAUUCUGUUGAGCAUGGUUGAGUGUGGUGACAUAUCCCUGGGCUUCAAGAGGCCAGUCCUGGACAGGAGAGCACAAACAACUCCUGCAAGCUGGAAAGCCUUUCCCAGUAAUUCCCAAACACAGAAAUAUGUGCCUGCAAUGUGGCACUUUUUAGAAUGGCAUCCACUCAGAUGGUGGAGGAUCCAUCACAGCCCGGGCCCUCCCUGCUCCAAGGGCCCAUUUGUUUCCCCUUAUCACAGUCUCAUUAUUUGGUAAAGGAAAAUCUCGGACUUUCUUGGGACCAGUGGCUGUGGUUU
Molecule: long non-coding RNA, 360 nt
Organism: Pezoporus flaviventris
Lineage: Eukaryota; Metazoa; Chordata; Aves; Psittaciformes; Psittacidae
Exons: 3
Source: RefSeq, a predicted model, not a curated record